ACGCCUUAUACAUGCAAGUCGAACGAAGUAGUAAUACUUAGUGGCAGACGGGUGAGUAACAUGUAGGUAUCUUCCCUUUGGUGAGGAAUAACACGAGGAAACUUGUGCUAAUACCUCAUAAGUCUUUACGGAGAAAGCUUUAUGCGCCGAAGGAUGAGCCUGCAUUUGAUUAGUUUGUUGGUGGGGUAAUGGCCUACCAAGACUUUGAUCAAUAGCUGAUCUGAGAGGAUGAUCAGCCACAUUGGGACUGAGACACGGCCCAAACUCCUACGGGAGGCAGCAGUAGGGAAUAUUGCACAAUGGAGGAAACUCUGAUGCAGCGAUGCCGCGUGAGUGAAGAAGGCCCUUGGGUUGUAAAGCUCUUUCGUCGGGGAAGAAAAUGACUGUACCCGAAUAAGAAGGUCCGGCUAACUUCGUGCCAGCAGCCGCGGUAAUACGAAGGGACCUAGCGUAGUUCGGAAUUACUGGGCUUAAAGAGUUCGUAGGUGGUUAAAAAAGUUGGUGGUGAAAUCCCAGAGCUUAACUCUGGAACUGCCAUCAAAACUUUUUAGCUAGAGUAUGAUAGAGGAAAGCAGAAUUUCUAGUGUAGAGGUGAAAUUCGUAGAUAUUAGAAAGAAUACCAAUUGCGAAGGCAGCUUUCUGGAUCAUUACUGACACUGAGGAACGAAAGCAUGGGUAGCGAAGAGGAUUAGAUACCCUCGUAGUCCAUGCCGUAAACGAUGUGUGUUAGACGUUGGAAAUUUAUUUUCAGUGUCGCAGCGAAAGCAUUAAACACACCGCCUGGGGAGUACGACCGC
This 797-nucleotide ribosomal RNA is filed under the name uncultured Pelagibacteraceae bacterium. RNAcentral's name for it is "bacterial SSU rRNA". It matches the Rfam family "Bacterial small subunit ribosomal RNA", at positions 44 to 889 of the family's 1533-position model. Lineage: Bacteria; Pseudomonadati; Pseudomonadota; Alphaproteobacteria; Candidatus Pelagibacterales; Candidatus Pelagibacteraceae. The record is from RNAcentral.